Molecule: long non-coding RNA, 2579 nt
Organism: Peromyscus maniculatus bairdii (prairie deer mouse)
Lineage: Eukaryota; Metazoa; Chordata; Mammalia; Rodentia; Cricetidae
Source: RefSeq, a predicted model, not a curated record
GGCUAUGAUGGGUGUGUGAGCCUGAAGAGGGCCAGGGAACACCGGGGAUCCGAUGGGAAGACGAAGUGAGGACAUGAGCGCCAUGCAGAUUUUGUAAUUGCAAGUCUGCCGUGGACAUCUGAGGGGCGAAAGGUCUCUCGUUGAACUUGGAGCUCACCAACUGGACGGUCAGGGGUGCCAGGGAUCCCCUCAUUCCCACUAACCGGUGCUGCAGUCACGGAUGUGCUCCACCACGUUUUGAUUCCACAUGGGUGCUGGGGAUCCAAACUUCAGGUCCUCGGGCUGUGCAUCAAGCACUCUACCAAUGGAAUCAUCUCUCCAGUCACUGCUGCUCUCAACAUUUGCUGCGAGAGCUAACCUUGGCAUGCCGAGUUGACGGGCAGUGAGCGAGGACCUAGUCCGAGGCGCCUCUGCUUUUGCUGUGUGACUUUCGAUGAGUGGAUCCAUCUCUCUGAGCCUCUGUUUUGUCACGGUAGAGAGUGUUCAUAACGGAGCCCUGUUGGCACCAGCUGUGCUGAAGAAGUGAGACAGGAGUGACAGGAGCAGUUCUUGACCCCGAGUGACAGCUUGGUGGUGGCAGAUAUGGCUGUCAUCCCUGCUCAUGCUGACUCCUUGGGUGACUGGGAGGGGAGGGGGACAGACUCCCUGGAGCCCUCUCCUCCAGUUGAGUGAUGCAGUGAUUAGGCAGGGUGUGUCUAUUAAUGGCUCCUGGACCCACCCAAGGCAGAUGAGCAGGGCAGGGGACAGAGGCAGAGGGCGCAGUCCUUGGAAACAGGCAUUAACUUGCAGGAGUUCUUGCCUACACUGUACCUGCUUCCUGCUCUUUUCCCCAGUUUAUAAGGAAGGAAGGUAGGCUAGGCUGGCUGAGUCCGCAAGCAAGUUGUAACGACCUCUCUCCAAAACCCUUUGAAGAUGCUGGUCAUGCUAGGUGCAGACAGACUCACACCACAGUCAGCAGACACGAGAGAUGAGGGUCCAGAGGCAUGCACAGUACAAGGAUGUUAACUCUUGUGGGCUGAGAGUGGUCCUUGACACUUAUCAGAUGAAACACCCCCAGGACCCAGGAUAUGACCGUGUCUGGAGACAGGGACUUCACAAAGGUGCCUUGGCUAAAUGAAGUCAUACAGGUGGACCCCACCCAACAUGAUGGACAUUCUUAUAGGAGGAGGAAGUCAGGACCCAUACAGGCACAGAGGGCUGAGCUGGAAGCACACAAGGAAAAGGUGGUGUCUAAGGCCAGAAGAAAGGCCCCUGGAGAACCCGGCCCUGCCUCACCCUGUGCUUGGGUGAUGGCCUCCCCUAUGAGAAAAUGGAUGUCUGCUGCCUUGGUCUCCCCAGCAUUGCUCAUGGCUAAGGCAGAGCCCACGCUGACAGUGUCUACUGUGGCAUUCGGUUCACAGAGGCUUGCUCAUUGGCUGGAGGCAACUGAGCUGGCAAGGGGCCGAGAUGAGCCGGACACCUGUGGUGUCUGUGCAUUCUCAGCCAAUGAUGCCAGGGAGUCCACUGGUAUGUGUGUGGGUGUGGGUGUGAUAAGAUGUCCCCAGGGACAGCCUCCAUCUGGUCUGCGUGGGAGAAUGCUCUGUGCCCUGCUGACUUUCCAAAACUCUCUUUAGGUUCUAGGACUGACACAGACCCAUCUCUUGGAUAGGCGACGCUAUCAGAAGUUCCGAUGGCCUCAGUGGGCCUUGACUUUGGCUGUAGUGUGUCCAGGGAGUUUGGGGCUGGCUCAAGAUACUUGAAUGAGCUGUAACGAGGAGCAUCUCUGGGAAGAGGCCACUGCCUCUCUAUCCUCUCGGAGCCAUUUUCUAGUGCAGUUGGCCCACAGGGAACUGAGGUGGCCAGAUGUUCCCUAGGGACCCUGCCUGAGCUGAUGCCUCCUUGUAGCAGCAGAGGCAAAUGGGCCUUGGGUGUGUUCCAGACAGCUGUGGGCAGUGCACGCACCUGAGGCCAGUAAGCUGACCCUGCUGUGUCCAAAGUUACUGGGUCCAUGUGGUUAGCCGAGCCCUGGCUUGGAAGGUGUGGGUAGUUCUGCCUCACCCAGCUGGGACUUGACAUUGAGCAUUGGAGCCUGAGGGCCCAGUCACGUGACCUUUUGGUCACCCACAGUGGCCACCACCUCUCUGAUCUGUCUUCUGUCCCCAAUGUGGUUUCUGACGUGCUGAGCAGCCAUAUUGCUCCGCUUAAUGAAUUUGCCGUCUGGAUGCAGGUAAAACUCUUCCAGGUGAUGUAUCCCAUUCUACAGAUGAGGAAGAGGCUGAGAAAGACCCCACUGCUGUCUGAACACCUGCCAGUGAGGAGUGGGGUUUGCAUCGAACACUCCUGCCUGGAGCCCCGCUGCCCAGUCCUUGGGUCGUCAUUUGAAAUCUUCCGAGUACUGCUUUCAUCCCCAGGGCCAUAAACGUACCCCUUGGUGACAGUGUCCAUAUGUUUACAUCAUGGAAUGAUGUUGCUCCCAGGACUUUAAUAAUUCUUCUUCAGGCUCCAAAUUAUAACCCUCACUCAACGUCACUGAUGAGCUGUCUCAGCUUGCAUUUUUCCAAAGAUGGUACUUUUGCUUUGAAUCCAUAAACUACGUCGUG